RNAcentral lists this ribosomal RNA (1792 nucleotides) under human gut metagenome. RNAcentral's name for it is "bacterial LSU rRNA". It matches the Rfam family "Bacterial large subunit ribosomal RNA", at positions 467 to 2275 of the family's 2925-position model. The record is from RNAcentral.
UAAAUACUCCCGAGAGACCGAUAGCGAACCAGUACCGUGAGGGAAAGGUGAAAAGAACCCCGAGCAGGGGAGUGAAAUAGACCCUGAACCCGUCUGCCUACAAGCGGUCGGAGCGUCGUAAUGACGUGACGGCGUGCCUUUUGCAUAAUGAACCUACGAGUUACCUUCCCCGGCAAGGUUAAGUACCUAAGGUACGGAGCCGAAGCGAAAGCGAGUCUGAACAGGGCGCCAAGUCGGGGGGGGUAGACGCGAAACCGAGUGAUCUACCCUUGGCCAGGUUGAAGGUUGGGUAACACCAACUGGAGGACCGGAUGGGUAAGCGUUGAAAAGCUUUCCAAUGAGCUGAGGGUAGGGGUGAAAGGCUAAUCAAACUCGGAGAUAGCUCGUACUCCCCGAAAUGCAUUUAGGUGCAGCCUCUUUAUAGUAUAUCGUGAGGUAGAGCGACUGAUUGGAUGCGAGGGCUUCACCGCCUAUCAAGUCCAGAUAAACUCCGAAUGCGCGAUAUAUAUUUACAGGGAGUGAGGGCGCGGGUGCUAAGGUCCGUGUCCGAGAGGAGAAGAAUCCAGACCACCGGCUAAGGCCCCCAAAUGAUCGUUAAGUUGAACUAACGAGGUCGGAUCGCAGAGACAGCUAGGAUGUUGGCUUGGAAGCAGCCAUUCAUUUAAAGAGUGCGUAACAGCUCACUAGUCGAGCGAUCUGGCGUGGAUAAUAAUCGGGCAUAAACGAUCUGCCGAAGCCGUGGAUGUCGCAAGACAUGGUAGGGGAGCAUUCCAUGCGGCGUCGAAGAUGAGGGAUGACCCUUGUUGGAGCGCAUGGAAAAGCAAAUGUAGGUAUGAGUAACGAUAAGGGGGGCGAGAACCCCCCCCGCCGAAAGACCAAGGUUUCCUGAUCAACGCUAAUCGGAUCAGGGUGAGUCGGGACCUAAGGCAAAGCCGAACGGCGCCGCCGAUGGAAGAAUGGGUUAAUAUUCCCAUACUGCCUCAUGGAGUGACGUGGAGACGGAGAAGUGACAGUCCUGCCGGCUGACGGAAUAGCCGGUUGAAGGGUGUAGAUAUUGAUUCCCGUAGGCAAAUCCGCGGGGAGAGUCGAACCUGAGAGUAUACGGAGCGCUUGCGCGACGUAAUAUGGACGUAACCAUGCUCCCGAGAAAAUCCGCUAAACUUAUCCAUGCGGCACCCGUACCGUAAACGGACACACGUGGUCGGGUUGAGAAUACUGAGGCGCUCGAGUGAUUCACGGUUAAGGAACUAGGCAAAUUGACCCUGUAACUUCGGGAUAAAGGGUCCUCGUCGUAAGGCGAGGCGCAGAGAAUAGGUCCAGGCAACUGUUUAACAAAAACACAUGGCUGUGCUAAAUGGAAACAUGACGUAUACAGCCUGACACCUGCCCGGUGCCGGAAGGUUAAGAGGAGAUGUCAUCCGCGAGGAGAAGCGUUGAAUUGAAGCCCCGGUAAACGGCGGCCGUAACUAUAACGGUCCUAAGGUAGCGAAAUUCCUUGUCGGGUAAGUUCCGACCUGCACGAAUGGUGUAACGAUCUGGGCACUGUCUCGACCAUGAGCUCGGUGAAAUUGUAGUUCCGGUGAAGAUGCCGGGUACCCGCGACGGGACGGAAAGACCCCGUGAACCUUUACUGCAGCUUCGCGUUGUUCCCGGGCACGGGACGUGUAGGAUAGGUCGGAGGCUACGAUUCGGUUUCGCCAGGAAUCGAGGAGCCAUCGUUGAAAUACGACCCUUCUCUUGUCUGGGAUCUAACCCUUGUAAUAGGGGACACCGCGUGGUGGGUAGUUUGACU